Non-coding RNA from Pelobates cultripes (western spadefoot toad), 285 nucleotides. Lineage: Eukaryota; Metazoa; Chordata; Amphibia; Anura; Pelobatidae. The record is from the annotation of a GenBank genome assembly.
AUAAAUUGAUACCUUGUCAUUAGAUGGUGUAUGUUUAGUGAUGUUAUUGUAAUACUCUGCCCUUUUACAGGAAUAGCUGUUUAGAGAAAACAUGACUAACAAGCAAUGUACUUUAAUUUUUAGAAUCUGCCAUAUUGGUUAACAAACAUCUAUCAAAUAGCAGUUCAAUAUUACAAAGAACUGGACAACAUGAGCCCAUUGUAGAUUCCCAUUAAGGCCCACUCUGACUCUGUUGGCAUGCACAGCAAAAUAAGUAAAUCUUUACUACUCUGCCAUAGAGCUACU